CUGUUAUGUGUGGUCAGACUAUGGACUGUCAUGGAGUAAUGGCCAGCUGUCACUCAUGCCAACAAAAGCAGGCCUAGCACUAGUUUAGAAGUUAGCACUUGGAAGAAAAUGAAGAGUGACUUAUGAGGAGCAGUGGCAGAAGCAAGCGGAAGUGAGAAGGUGCUGCAGGAUGACUGGGAGAGCAAAACCAAAUGUACCACGCGGGAGGCCUGGCAGGACACAGGGCUUUCGUCAUCGGGUUUCCAUUAAUUCCUGGAACCAGAGCCUCCCUGGCACAAGGGCAAGGAAGACAGGCUGAUUUUAUGCUCAGAAAUUGGCUUAGGGCUGGUGAAAUGUCUCAGUGGGCCAGGGCUGGUAAAGGCACUUGCUGUCAAUCCUGAUGGCCUGAGUUUGAUCUCUGGGACCAAAUGGUAUAAAGAUGGAAUUGACUCCUAGCUGUCUUCAGGGCAUAUGUGCAGUGGCGUAUUCGCAUGUGGGAGUGUGCACACACAAUACUCUCUCUGUCUCUCUCUUGCAAGAAGUAAAAUCUAAUAAAAUAAGCUUUAAAAAAA
Mesocricetus auratus (golden hamster) is the source of this 551-nucleotide long non-coding RNA. RefSeq lists it as uncharacterized. The transcript has 2 exons. The record is from RefSeq and is a predicted model, not a curated record. NCBI's taxonomy places the organism in Eukaryota, Metazoa, Chordata, Mammalia, Rodentia, Cricetidae.